RNAcentral lists this long non-coding RNA (208 nucleotides) under Brassica napus (rape). Its description in RNAcentral is "long non-coding RNA (BNAP_LNC006650)". Lineage: Eukaryota; Viridiplantae; Streptophyta; Magnoliopsida; Brassicales; Brassicaceae. The record is from RNAcentral.
GUUGACAAUAAAUCUGCAAGAAGACCAAAAUACCCUUCGAGUAGGAACGGGAUCCUUCAAGGUGGUAAGGGAGGUUCGGCAGAGAUUAGUCAGAAGAUCCUGGAAUUGUGGGAAGAACAUUCUCAAAGCAACUCAAAGUAACCUUGCGACUAAGGGUGUCGAAUGUCGAAGAUGCGACAAGGCACCGAGAUGAUUCGCUAGAGGAAAA